UAGGGAAUCUUCCACAAUGGGCGCAAGCCUGAUGGAGCAACACCGCGUGAGUGAAGAAGGGUUUCGGCUCGUAAAGCUCUGUUGUUAAAGAAGAACACGUAUGAGAGUAACUGUUCAUUCGUUGACGGUAUUUAACCAGAAAGUCACGGCUAACUACGUGCCAC
RNAcentral lists this ribosomal RNA (164 nucleotides) under uncultured bacterium. RNAcentral's name for it is "partial 16S rRNA". It matches the Rfam family "Bacterial small subunit ribosomal RNA", at positions 355 to 511 of the family's 1533-position model. The record is from RNAcentral.